Molecule: ribosomal RNA, 484 nt
Filed under: uncultured bacterium
Lineage: Bacteria
Description: partial 16S ribosomal RNA
Rfam family: Bacterial small subunit ribosomal RNA
Source: RNAcentral
AUUGAACGCUAGCGGGAUGCUUUACACAUGCAAGUCGAACGGCAGCGCGGACUUCGGUCUGGCUGCGAGUGGCGAACGGGUGAGUAAUGUAUCGGAACGUGCCCAGUAGCGGGGGAUAACUACGCGAAAGCGUAGCUAAUACCGCAUACGCCCUACGGGGGAAAGCAGGGGAUCGUAAGACCUUGCACUAUUUGAGCGGCCGAUAUCGGAUUAGCUAGUUGGUGAGGUAACGGCUUACCAAGGCGACGAUCCGUAGGUGGUUUGAGAGGACGGCCAGCCACAUUGGGACGUGGACACGGACCAGGCUACUACGGGAGGGACCAGAGGGCUACUUUGGGCAAUGGGGGGAAACAUGAUACAGUCAGCCGGAGUGUGAGAUGAAGGCCCUCGGGUCGUAAAGAACUCUUGGCAGGAAAGAAACGUCGCGGGCUAAUACCAAGUGGAACUGACGGUAACUGCAGAAUAAGCACCGGCUAACUACGUG